UACGUAGGGUGCAAGCGUUAAUCGGAAUUAUUGGGCGUAAAGAGCUCGUAGGCGGUGUGUCGCGUCGGCCGUGAAAACCUGCAGCUUAACUGUGGGCUUGCGGUCGAUACGGGCAUCACUGGAGUUCGGCAGGGGAGACUGGAGUUCCUGGUGUAGCGGUGAAAUGCGCAGAUAUCAGGAGGAACACCGGUGGCGAAGGCGGGUCUCUGGGCCGAUACUGACGCUGAGGAGCGAAAGCGUGGGGAGCGAACAGG
Molecule: ribosomal RNA, 254 nt
Filed under: uncultured bacterium
Lineage: Bacteria
Description: partial 16S ribosomal RNA
Rfam family: Bacterial small subunit ribosomal RNA
Source: RNAcentral